GCUGGAUGCAGUGGUAUGUGCCUGUAAUCCCAGUGACUCAGGAGGCUGAGGCAGGAGGAUCGCAAGUUCAAAACCAGCCUUAGCAACUUAGCGAUGUCCUAAGCAACUUAGCGAGACCCUGUCUCUA
RNAcentral lists this small RNA (127 nucleotides) under Marmota monax (woodchuck). The record is from RNAcentral. Lineage: Eukaryota; Metazoa; Chordata; Mammalia; Rodentia; Sciuridae.